This 497-nucleotide ribosomal RNA is filed under the name uncultured bacterium. RNAcentral describes it as "partial 16S ribosomal RNA". It matches the Rfam family "Bacterial small subunit ribosomal RNA", at positions 28 to 507 of the family's 1533-position model. The record is from RNAcentral.
GACGAACGCUGGCGGCGUGCCUAAUACAUGCAAGUAGAACGCUGAAGAGAGGAGCUUGCUCUUCUUGGAUGAGUUGCGAACGGGUGAGUAACGCGUAGGUAACCUGCCUGGUAGCGGGGGAUAACUAUUGGAAACGAUAGCUAAUACCGCAUAAAAUUGAUUAUUGCAUGAUAAUUAAUUGAAAGAUGCAACUGCAUCACUACCAGAUGGACCUGCGUUGUAUUAGCUAGUUGGUGAGGUAACGGCUCACCAAGGCGACGAUACAUAGCCGACCUGAGAGGGUGAUCGGCCACACUGGGACUGAGACACGGCCCAGACUCCUACGGGAGGCAGCAGUAGGGAAUCUUCGGCAAUGGGGGGAACCCUGACCGAGCAACGCCGCGUGAGUGAAGAAGGUUUUCGGAUCGUAAAGCUCUGUUGUAAGAGAAGAACGGGUGUGAGAGUGGAAAGUUCACACUGUGACGGUACCUUACCAGAAAGGGACGGCUAACUACGUG